Long non-coding RNA from Chroicocephalus ridibundus (black-headed gull), 306 nucleotides. RefSeq lists it as uncharacterized. The record is from RefSeq and is a predicted model, not a curated record. Lineage: Eukaryota; Metazoa; Chordata; Aves; Charadriiformes; Laridae. The transcript is spliced from 3 exons.
CUGCAGCGGAGACUGGCACAAGAACAGAGCGGAGCCGAUCCUCUCGGGGCUGGCACACCGCGUAAUCAAAUGCAAGGCUUCGAGGCUUUGAACAUGAGCUUUCAGCAGGCGACGCUCCUCCUUGCGCAGCGUCUUUGGAGAAGGGCUCGUUGCCACACUUCGAGUCGGUGAUUCCAUGCAGAGAGAUGUGCGUCUUCCUCUGCAUCCAAUCCAUCGUCCUUUACCCAAACUGGACCAAGGUAGAAGAGAUGGCGCAAUUGGGAUAAGUCAUCUUCUACUUGGAAGCUUCUCCACUUAACACCUGUU